GACGAACGCUGGCGGCGUGCUUAACACAUGCAAGUCGAGCGGAAAGGCCCUUCGGGGUACUCGAGCGGCGAACGGGUGAGCAACACGUGAGUAACCUGCCCCAGACUUUGGGAUAACCCUCGGAAACGGGGGCUAAUACCGGAUACGACACAGCUUCGCAUGGGGUCUGUGUGGAAAGUUUUUCGGUUUGGGAUGGGCUCGCGGCCUAUCAGCUUGUUGGUGGGGUGAUGGCCUACCAAGGCGACGACGGGUAGCCGGCCUGAGAGGGCGACCGGCCACACUGGGACUGAGACACGGCCCAGACUCCUACGGGAGGCAGCAGUGGGGAAUAUUGCACAAUGGGCGGAAGCCUGAUGCAGCGACGCCGCGUGAGGGAUGACGGCCUUCGGGUUGUAAACCUCUUUCAGCAGGGACGAAGCGUAAGUGACGGUACCUGCAGAAGAAGCGCCGGCCAACUACGUG
This 462-nucleotide ribosomal RNA is filed under the name uncultured bacterium. RNAcentral describes it as "partial 16S ribosomal RNA". It matches the Rfam family "Bacterial small subunit ribosomal RNA", at positions 28 to 507 of the family's 1533-position model. The record is from RNAcentral.